This 250-nucleotide unclassified non-coding RNA is filed under the name plant metagenome. RNAcentral's name for it is "partial contains small subunit ribosomal RNA, internal transcribed spacer 1, and 5.8S ribosomal RNA". The record is from RNAcentral.
GUAGGUGAACCUGCGGAAGGAUCAUUAUUGAAUAUUCUUGAUGGGUUGUAGCUGGCUCUUUGGAGCAUGUGCACGCCUGUCUUGACUUAAUUCAUCCACCUGUGCACCUUUUGUAGUCUUGGGGGUUGAGUGCAGUCGACUGUCGGACGGCUAUUGUAGUCUAUCCGGAUGUGAAGAAUGCUGAGUGCGGAAGCAUACGGCUCUCUUCAAAAUGACUUGCAAACCCUCGAGUACUAUGUAUUCAUACACC